GUUUGGCGGCCGGCAUCCUGAUCGAUCGCACGUAUCUUGCGUUCUUGUCAAACACAGGACAGCGCUUCCGCGGAAAACUCCUGACAGUCUUGGCGUUUCGGCGGCUUCUAGGCGGUUUAUCUUCACCUCUGCCUGGUGCUUUUACAGACAGCACCUUGCUGCUUGCUAUAGCAGGUUUAAAACAAAAAUCUCAAAGAAACGGAAAAGUUUUCCUCAACAAAAUGUCUCCGUAAAUGACGAGAAUUGUUGAAACCGCACGAUCUCUGCUUGGAGGAGUCAAAUCGCCCUUCCCUGGCUGCUCCUUGUCUGGGAGUUUGCAAUAAUUCCAGCGAUGCCACGACAAAAACACCUUAUAUUUAUGAAGCACCUUAUAGUACUUAAAACACCGUUAAACAUAUGGCUUCGUUUGAACACAAGCCACCCUUUGAAGUCGUCGAGACAGAAACAUCAUUGCUCAGAGCAAUAAUUUGGUGCUGAUGGGUGAUCUGUACAGGACCGGAAUUAGACUUCAAGAAGAAGGAUACAGGUGGUUGGAGCUGAAAGUCAACCAAAUUGAACUUGAGUUGCCAGGACAUCUCGAGGUUAUUUGCUAAUGAAGCAGAUGUACAAUGUAUGCUUGGAGCAGAAAUGGAGCUCAUGUUUUGAAGUCAUACCUUGGUAAAAAUUAAAGUAUAGCUUUCCCGGAUUCCCAGAAGCAGUGCCCACAAAACAUGAAAAGUCAAAAAUUCCCCUAAACACUGUUUUUUAAAAAAGAUUUUAUUUAUUUAUUUGAGAGAGAGAGCAUGAAUGAGAGAGCAGA
Long non-coding RNA from Neogale vison (American mink), 799 nucleotides. RefSeq lists it as uncharacterized. The transcript is spliced from 3 exons. The record is from RefSeq and is a predicted model, not a curated record. NCBI's taxonomy places the organism in Eukaryota, Metazoa, Chordata, Mammalia, Carnivora, Mustelidae.